UGCCACCCACUCUCUUCUGGAACUACAUGGAAGACACUCGAACAACACUGCAGGAAAUGAAGAGGAGAGACUUGGCAACAAAUGCGACAUGGUAACAUGCAGAAAGGAUAUAGAGGGUUUUUUGAGGAAACAAGAACAGAGGAAAGAAGAAAAAAUAAGAGAGAGGUUGAAAAAGGUGAAUGGAAUGGAAAAUGCGGGAAACAUGAAAGGUGAUACCCGCGUACAGACUGUUUCAUCUGCUGAGUGCGGCGAGAUGGAGCUUUGGGACACCAAACUACAUAACAUUUCAUAAGAAACACUGAGAAGGAGAGAGACUCCUGACUGAUAUUUUCACAUUAACACCUGUGGUGAACAGUUUGCAAUAAACCAAAACUGAAAAGAGUGUUGUAUUUUGAGUUUUACAUUUUUAACAAAUUUGAAUGGUGAUUGAUUUAUUUUAUUUCUCACUGUAUACCUACCAGUAUUAGAAGUAUUCUCCUUCUGAAAGACCCCUAAGGGCAAACAUGCUUUGGCAUCAGGAAUUAUGCUUUGACUCAGUUGUUCUGAAAUGGUGGGUCAGAACUGUUCUGACAGAGAA
Molecule: long non-coding RNA, 577 nt
Organism: Cyprinus carpio carpio
Lineage: Eukaryota; Metazoa; Chordata; Actinopteri; Cypriniformes; Cyprinidae
Source: Ensembl